RNAcentral lists this ribosomal RNA (1345 nucleotides) under uncultured bacterium. RNAcentral's name for it is "bacterial SSU rRNA". It matches the Rfam family "Bacterial small subunit ribosomal RNA", at positions 28 to 1381 of the family's 1533-position model. The record is from RNAcentral.
GACGGACGCUGGCGGCGUGCUUAACACAUGCAAGUCGAACGAUGAAGCCUAGCUUGCUAGGUGGAUUAGUGGCGAACGGGUGAGUAAUACGUGAGUGACCUACCUUUGACUCUGGGAUAAGCCUGGGAAACUGGGUCUAAUACCGGAUACGACCAAUCUCUGCAUGGGGUGUUGGUGGAAAGCGUUAUGGAGUGGUUUUAGAUGGGCUCACGGCCUAUCAGCUUGUUGGUGAGGUAAUGGCUUACCAAGGCGACGACGGGUAGCCGGCCUGAGAGGGUGACCGGCCACACUGGGACUGAGACACGGCCCAGACUCCUACGGGAGGCAGCAGUGGGGAAUAUUGCACAAUGGGCGCAAGCCUGAUGCAGCGACGCCGCGUGAGGGAUGACGGCCUUCGGGUUGUAAACCUCUGUUAGCAUCGAAGAAGCGAAAGUGACGGUAGGUGCAGAGAAAGCGCCGGCUAACUACGUGCCAGCAGCCGCGGUAAUACGUAGGGCGCGAGCGUUGUCCGGAAUUAUUGGGCGUAAAGAGCUUGUAGGCGGUUGGUCGCGUCUGCUGUGAAGGCCGGGGCUUAACUCCGGUUUUGCAGUGGGUACGGGCUAACUAGAGUGCAGUAGGGGAGACUGGAAUUCCUGGUGUAGCGGUGGAAUGCACAGAUAUCAGGAGGAACACCGAUGGCGAAGGCAGGUCUCUGGGCUGUAACUGACGCUGAGAAGCGAAAGCAUGGGGAGCGAACAGGAUUAGAUACCCUGGUAGUCCAUGCCGUAAACGUUGGGCACUAGGUGUGGGGGACAUUCCACGUUUCCCGCGCCGUAGCUAACGCAUUAAGUGCCCCGCCUGGGGAGUACGGCCGCAAGGCUAAAACUCAAAGGAAUUGACGGGGGCCCGCACAAGCGGCGGAGCAUGCGGAUUAAUUCGAUGCAACGCGAAGAACCUUACCAAGGCUUGACAUGCAUUAGAUCGCGUCAGAGAUGGCGUUUCCCUUCGGGGCUGGUGUACAGGUGGUGCAUGGUUGUCGUCAGCUCGUGUCGUGAGAUGUUGGGUUAAGUCCCGCAACGAGCGCGACCCUCGUUCUAUGUUGCCAGCGGUUCGGCCGGGGACUCAUAGGAGACUGCCGGGGUUAACUCGGAGGAAGGUGGGGAUGACGUCAAAUCAUCAUGCCCCUUAUGUCUUGGGCUUCACGCAUGCUACAAUGGCCGGUACAGAGGGUUGCGAUACUGUGAGGUGGAGCUAAUCCCUUAAAGCCGGUCUCAGUUCGGAUUGGGGUCUGCAACUCGACCCCAUGAAGUCGGAGUCGCUAGUAAUCGCAGAUCAGCAACGCUGCGGUGAAUACGUUCCCGGGCCU